AUAACUUUUACGAAUACUAUUACGAGUACUAUUACUAUUACUUUUA
This 46-nucleotide non-coding RNA is filed under the name Plasmodium falciparum 3D7. The record is from RNAcentral. Lineage: Eukaryota; Apicomplexa; Aconoidasida; Haemosporida; Plasmodiidae.